Molecule: non-coding RNA, 82 nt
Organism: Gigaspora rosea
Lineage: Eukaryota; Fungi; Glomeromycota; Glomeromycetes; Diversisporales; Gigasporaceae
Source: the annotation of a GenBank genome assembly
UCCGCAUUGGUCUAGUGGCUAGGAUCUCCCGCUCUCAUUACGGAGUCCCGGGAAGGCCGGGGUUCAAUUCCCCGAUGCGGAA